UCACGGUAGAGUUAUCUCUCUUUCCACAGCCAUGGAGUCUCCAAAAAACCCAACUAAAGGAGUGUACACUUUCCUUAGUCGGUUGGUAGGUAGUUUCAUCUUCUAAAAGGCAUCGUAAAAUAGCAUAUCAGCUAAGCUUCCAUUAUCCUUUCAUAUUAUAGUUGGCCAUGGUCAUCAUUCCGAUAAUAGCACCAUCAUGGGGUUCUGUACUCCAUGGAGAUCA
This 223-nucleotide long non-coding RNA is filed under the name Elaeis guineensis (African oil palm). Its description in RNAcentral is "long non-coding RNA (EGUI_LNC033798)". Lineage: Eukaryota; Viridiplantae; Streptophyta; Magnoliopsida; Arecales; Arecaceae. The record is from RNAcentral.